RNAcentral lists this transfer RNA (85 nucleotides) under Felis catus (domestic cat). It matches the Rfam family "tRNA". From Rfam's summary of the family: Transfer RNA (tRNA) molecules are approximately 80 nucleotides in length. Their secondary structure includes four short double-helical elements and three loops (D, anti-codon, and T loops). The record is from Rfam by way of RNAcentral. Lineage: Eukaryota; Metazoa; Chordata; Mammalia; Carnivora; Felidae.
GCCUGGGUGGCUCAGUCAGUUGAGUGCCUGACUUUGGCUCAGGUCAUGAUCUCACAGUUAGUGGGUUCAAGCCCUGUGUCAGGCU